UUUAUAUUUUUUAGUUUUGUGCUGGGCCGGGCUAAACCCAGCCCAGCAAGUGGCUGGGCUCAGCUCAGCCCCACAGGGGCUGGGCUGAACCCAGCCAGCCUGGCCCGGGUCACUGGCCCAAGCCAGUGACCCGGCUAAAAACAGGAUGCACGCGUGAAACAAAUCACGCGUGCAUUCAACAGUGCGAAGGUAAUUAAAUUACCUUCGCACUGUUCAAACUUCAAACAAUUAAUUAGACACCGAAGAACAGAGAAAAAAUGGAAAAGGCGCACCUGUUUCUGGCGAUUGAAGAAGGCUGCAGCGCUGGUGGAGUUCGACUGCUUGUUGUUUCAAACAAUGCUGAGGAGGGUUGCAACGCUGGUGUGGGUUCUACUGCUUUCUGUCAAAUGCCAAUGGUUCGGUGAUCGAUUGGGAUCCUGUUUCAGAAGGCGGUGAAGAAGGCUGCAGCGCUGGUGGAGUUCGACUGAGUUCUGUUGAUAAUCGAUGGUUAGGGGAUUAAUUGCUUUCUUGUAGGAACGAAAACAAGAUUGAUCCGUGACUCCCCUCCUCCUUUCUCUCUUUUUCUGCGUUGGUAUUUUUGUUUGGUUUAUGCCCUUUUUUUGUUACUCUGUGUAUUUUUGGUUCUGUUUUUGGUUCCUCUGUUUUUCUGGGAUUGCCUUGCUUUCUCCCCCUGUUUUAUUUUACUGCCCCUGCCUUCCCCUGUUUGUGCUGGGUUUUUCUUGUUCAAUCUCCUGGGUUUUGCCCCUUUGGUUCUGUUUCAUUUCUCUGUUUAUGCUGGGUUUUCUCCUCCUCCUGGUGUCUUCUUCGUCCUGCCUUUUAUAAGGCGAGAGACCUUCAAAAAACCAUCACCUCCACCUACGGGAUUGUGGCAAUCGUGGCAGAAGACAUGGUCACGAUUUGGAUCGGAUGCACUGGGAUUUUCCUGUUGAAUCGGCUGCCCUGGCGAAAUGGAAGGGAUGACGAACAGUAUUAUUGCAAACGGCACCGUUUAACAAUUUUCAAUUUGACCCCUGAACUUUGGCAAUUUCGCAAUUGGACCCCUGAAUAAAAAUUUCUUUUAAUUUUGCCCUAUUUGGAUAAAUUUCA
This 1086-nucleotide long non-coding RNA is filed under the name Populus tremula. Its description in RNAcentral is "long non-coding RNA (PTRE_LNC003318)". The record is from RNAcentral. Lineage: Eukaryota; Viridiplantae; Streptophyta; Magnoliopsida; Malpighiales; Salicaceae.